This 679-nucleotide ribosomal RNA is filed under the name Kocuria flava. RNAcentral's name for it is "bacterial SSU rRNA". It matches the Rfam family "Bacterial small subunit ribosomal RNA", at positions 753 to 1429 of the family's 1533-position model. The record is from RNAcentral. Lineage: Bacteria; Bacillati; Actinomycetota; Actinomycetes; Micrococcales; Micrococcaceae.
GCGAAAGCAUGGGGAGCGAACAGGAUUAGAUACCCUGGUAGUGCAUGCCGUAAACGUUGGGCACUAGGUGUGGGGGACAUUCCACGUUCUCCGCGCCGUAGCUAACGCAUUAAGUGCCCCGCCUGGGGAGUACGGCCGCAAGGCUAAAACUCAAAGGAAUUGACGGGGGCCCGCACAAGCGGCGGAGCAUGCGGAUUAAUUCGAUGCAACGCGAAGAACCUUACCAAGGCUUGACAUCCACCGGACCGCACUGGAGACAGUGCUUCCCUUCGGGGCUGGUGGACAGGUGGUGCAUGGUUGUCGUCAGCUCGUGUCGUGAGAUGUUGGGUUAAGUCCCGCAACGAGCGCAACCCUCGUUCUAUGUUGCCAGCACGUGAUGGUGGGGACUCAUAGGAGACUGCCGGGGUCAACUCGGAGGAAGGUGGGGAUGACGUCAAAUCAUCAUGCCCCUUAUGUCUUGGGCUUCACGCAUGCUACAAUGGCCGGUACAAAGGGUUGCGAUACUGUGAGGUGGAGCUAAUCCCAAAAAGCCGGUCUCAGUUCGGAUUGAGGUCUGCAACUCGACCUCAUGAAGUCGGAGUCGCUAGUAAUCGCAGAUCAGCAACGCUGCGGUGAAUACGUUCCCGGGCCUUGUACACACCGCCCGUCAAGUCACGAAAGUUGGUAACACCCGAAGCCG